RNAcentral lists this ribosomal RNA (490 nucleotides) under uncultured bacterium. RNAcentral's name for it is "bacterial SSU rRNA". It matches the Rfam family "Bacterial small subunit ribosomal RNA", at positions 791 to 1274 of the family's 1533-position model. The record is from RNAcentral.
UAGUCCACGCCGUAAACGAUGUCAACUAGCCGUUGGAGAACUUGAUUCUUUAGUGGCGCAGCUAACGCGAUAAGUUGACCGCCUGGGGAGUACGGCCGCAAGGUUAAAACUCAAAUGAAUUGACGGGGGCCCGCACAAGCGGUGGAGCAUGUGGUUUAAUUCGAUGCAACGCGAAGAACCUUACCAGGUCUUGACAUCCCGAGAAGUCGCUAGAGAUAGCUUCGUGCCUUCGGGAACUCGGUGACAGGUGCUGCAUGGCUGUCGUCAGCUCGUGUCGUGAGAUGUUGGGUUAAGUCCCGUAACGAGCGCAACCCUUGUCCUUUGUUGCCAGCACGUAAUGGUGGGAACUCAAAGGNGACUGCCGGUGACAAACCGGGNGGAAGGUGGGGACGACGUCAAGUCAUCAUGGCCCUUACAGGCUGGGGCUACACACGUGCUACAAUGGGUGGUGACAGUGGGGCAGGCGAGACCGCGAGGGUCGAGCUAAUCU